GUGUCAGCAGCCGCGGUAAUACGGAGGAGGCAAGCGUUAUCCGGAAUUAUUGGGCGUAAAGCGUCCGUAGGUGGUUAUUCAAGUCUGUUGUUAAAGAGUGGGGCUUAACCUCAUAAAGGCAAUGGAAACUGAAAGACUUGAGUGCGGUAGGGGUAGAGGGAAUUCCCAGUGUAGCGGUGAAAUGCGUAGAUAUUGGGAAGAACACCGGUGGCGAAAGCGCUCUACUGGACCUGCACUGACACUGAGGGACGAAAGCUAGGGGAGCGAAAGGGAUUAGAAACCCGUGUAGUCC
This 292-nucleotide ribosomal RNA is filed under the name uncultured bacterium. Its description in RNAcentral is "partial 16S ribosomal RNA". It matches the Rfam family "Bacterial small subunit ribosomal RNA", at positions 505 to 796 of the family's 1533-position model. The record is from RNAcentral.